Molecule: ribosomal RNA, 484 nt
Filed under: uncultured bacterium
Lineage: Bacteria
Description: partial 16S ribosomal RNA
Rfam family: Bacterial small subunit ribosomal RNA
Source: RNAcentral
AUUGAACGCUGGCGGCAGGCCUAACACAUGCAAGUCGAGCGGAUGAAGGGAGCUUGCUCCUGGAUUCAGCGGCGGACGGGUGAGUAAUGCCUAGGAAUCUGCCUGGUAGUGGGGGAUAACGUCCGGAAACGGGCGCUAAUACCGCAUACGUCCUGAGGGAGAAAGUGGGGGAUCUUCGGACCUCACGCUAUCAGAUGAGCCUAGGUCGGAUUAGCUAGUUGGUGGGGUAAAGGCCUACCAAGGCGACGAUCCGUAACUGGUCUGAGAGGAUGAUCAGUCACACUGGAACUGAGACACGGUCCAGACUCCUACGGGAGGCAGCAGUGGGGAAUAUUGGACAAAGGGCGAAAACCUGAUCCAGCCAUGCCGCGUGUGUGAAGAAGGUCUUCGGAUUGUAAAGCACUUUAAGUUGGGAGGAAGGGCAGUAAGUUAAUACCUUGCUGUUUUGACGUUACCAACAGAAUAAGCACCGGCUAACUUCGUG